Dermochelys coriacea (leatherback sea turtle) is the source of this 1385-nucleotide RNA transcript. It is a transcript of the gene named T-cell surface glycoprotein YE1/48-like, with no coding region annotated. NCBI's taxonomy places the organism in Eukaryota, Metazoa, Chordata, Testudines, Dermochelyidae. The transcript has 8 exons. The record is from RefSeq and is a predicted model, not a curated record.
ACUUCAAACCAGUUAUGUGCGAACUUCCUGUGCAGUUGUAGCCGGAACACCACAGCAAAUAAUUUUUUCCUCCCUUGUUUUAUGUUGACUUUCUACUAACAUGAUAGACAAACUCUCUCUCAUAUUUUUAUGCCAUACGAAGGUAUCAACACAUCUAUUCCAGGACUCCAGCCAAGGAUCUCUGACAUCCACACAGAAAUGAGUGAGCAGGAUGUGACCUACUCAGAGCUGAAAUUUCAUAGUCCUAAUGAACAGGAAAGCAGACAGAGAGCUGAGAAGGCCAAGAAUGCAGAUUCUUCCUCUCUGUCUCCACACCUGCAGCUCACUUUAGUGAUUCUUGGAAUCUUCUGCCUGGUUUUGUUGGUAACAAUAGGUGUCCUGAGUGCUAAGGUUCUCCAGAAUGAAAACCCCAACAAACAACAUGAAUUAUUGGAAAACCUCACCCAACUGCAGAAAACUCUGGAAAUCUGCCAGCAGCAAAAAGAUGAUCUCCAAGCAAAGAACACAAACCUCACAAAUAUGGUGAACAUUAAAGUUCUGCAGAACAAAACCCUCAACAAGCAAUGUGAAAUUGUGGAAAAUAUCACCCAACUGCAGAAAACACUGGACAUCUGCCACCAGCAAAGAGAUAAUCUCCAAGCAAAGAACACAAACCUCACAAAUAUUGUGAACAUGAAAGGAAAUAAAUGCAGACCUUGCCCAGAGAGCUGAAUACAGCAUGGAGAGAAGUGUUACCAUUUUUCUAAGGAAAUGAAAACAUGGCACAAGAGUAAAGAAUACUGUUCUUUUUGGGGAUCCCUACUGCUUAAAAUAAAGAACAAGGAAGAGCUGGAUUUCAUAAAGUCUCAGGCCUCAUUUCACUGGAUUGGAUUAUCCCGUAUGGCAAUCGGUCAUGGCUGGGUGUGGCAGGAUGGCACAGCCCACUCCACUGACCUUUUUCCAGUAAAGAUACAAGAGCCUGGAGAAAAAUGUGCACUUUUCAAAGCUGGGGAAGCCUUCUCCUAUAACUGUACAGGCCAAUAUCACUAUAUUUGUGAAAAGAAGGCUACUCAGAAAAAGACGACUGAACUGGCAAAAAGAAGAUUAUAGUAUCCAUGGCAAUCAGAAUCGAUGACAUUCCAAAGGGAAAGAUAAUUCACCUCUUGAGUUUGCAGAGUUGCCAUUUUCAAUGAGGAGCAGCAACUUCUGAUGAUAAACAAUGUCCCUUUCAGAAAUUUUCACAGACAAUCAAAACACUCCUACCAUGCAUGCUGAUUUAUCAAACAUGGCUGGGAAUGGCAGAGUUUAUUUUAAAGGAUCAGUUAGUUCACCAUGAAGAUAAGAAACUGGAUUUAUUUUUAUUUUAUUGCAUCCCAUACUCCCUGUGUCAAGUUCUGCAUUUGUAA